RNAcentral lists this ribosomal RNA (28 nucleotides) under Pisolithus tinctorius. RNAcentral describes it as "partial 18S ribosomal RNA". Lineage: Eukaryota; Fungi; Basidiomycota; Agaricomycetes; Boletales; Pisolithaceae. The record is from RNAcentral.
CGUAAGGGAACCUGCGGAAGGAUCAUUA